RNAcentral lists this ribosomal RNA (450 nucleotides) under uncultured prokaryote. RNAcentral describes it as "bacterial SSU rRNA". It matches the Rfam family "Bacterial small subunit ribosomal RNA", at positions 355 to 796 of the family's 1533-position model. The record is from RNAcentral.
UAGGGAAUUUUGGGCAAUGGGCGAAAGCCUGACCCAGCAACGCCGCGUGUGGGAUGAAGGCCCUCGGGUCGUAAACCACUGUCAGGAGGGAAGAGCUGGCCGAUGGCCAAUACCCAUCGGUCUCGACGGUACCUCCAGAGGAAGCUCCGGCUAACUCCGUGCCAGCAGCCGCGGUAAUACGGAGGGGGCGAGCGUUGUUCGGAAUUACUGGGCGUAAAGCGCGUGUAGGCGGUUCGGCAAGUCGGAUGUGAAAGCCCCGGGCUCAACUCGGGAACUGCAUCCGAAACUGCCGGGCUAGAGUCCCGGAGAGGAGGGCAGAAUUCCCAGUGUAGGGGUGAAAUCCGUAGAUAUUGGGAGGAAUACCAGUUGCGAAGGCGGCCCUCUGGACGGUGACUGACGCUGAGACGCGAAAGCGUGGGGAGCAAACAGGAUUAGAUACCCGCGUAGUCC